GUUUGGCAGCUGUUUCCAUCAUGUUCAUUCUGUUACUUGUCUUUUUUGUGUGUAAACUGAGGAACAACAGAACCAAGACCAAGAGAAGCCCCUCAGAUGAACGUGAUACAGGAGGAAGGGAGAAUCCCUCUGGAGAAGAAAUGAAGCCUUUGAAGGGAGAAGAGGAAAAGAAGAGCAAACAUGCAACCGACUCUGCAUGGGUAUGUAUGAAA
Molecule: non-coding RNA, 212 nt
Organism: Epinephelus lanceolatus (giant grouper)
Lineage: Eukaryota; Metazoa; Chordata; Actinopteri; Perciformes; Serranidae
Source: RefSeq, a predicted model, not a curated record